RNAcentral lists this transfer RNA (74 nucleotides) under Pandoraea thiooxydans. Its description in RNAcentral is "tRNA-Cys". It matches the Rfam family "tRNA". From Rfam's summary of the family: Transfer RNA (tRNA) molecules are approximately 80 nucleotides in length. Lineage: Bacteria; Pseudomonadati; Pseudomonadota; Betaproteobacteria; Burkholderiales; Burkholderiaceae. The record is from RNAcentral. RNAcentral also lists the same sequence under 1 other name.
GGUGCGGUAGCAAAGCGGUUAUGCUCUGGCCUGCAAAGCCAGCUAGGCCGGUUCGACUCCGGCCCGCACCUCCA